CAGAGCGUGGUCUAGUGGUUAGGACUCCUCAUUUACAGGCACUGCGUGGACUGAGGCGAUCCCCGGUUCAAUCCCGGGCGUUCUGA
Molecule: transfer RNA, 86 nt
Filed under: Malassezia sp. CBS 17886
Lineage: Eukaryota; Fungi; Basidiomycota; Malasseziomycetes; Malasseziales; Malasseziaceae
Description: tRNA-Val
Rfam family: tRNA
About the family: Transfer RNA (tRNA) molecules are approximately 80 nucleotides in length. Their secondary structure includes four short double-helical elements and three loops (D, anti-codon, and T loops).
Source: RNAcentral